RNAcentral lists this transfer RNA (75 nucleotides) under Candidatus Omnitrophota bacterium. RNAcentral describes it as "Candidatus Omnitrophica bacterium (groundwater metagenome) tRNA-Glu". It matches the Rfam family "tRNA". Rfam says of the family: Transfer RNA (tRNA) molecules are approximately 80 nucleotides in length. Lineage: Bacteria; Pseudomonadati; Candidatus Omnitrophota. The record is from RNAcentral.
GGCGCUAUCGUCUAGCCUGGUCUAGGACACCAGAUUCUCAAUCUGGCAGCACGGGUUCAAAUCCCGUUAGCGCUA